RNAcentral lists this ribosomal RNA (524 nucleotides) under uncultured bacterium. RNAcentral's name for it is "bacterial SSU rRNA". It matches the Rfam family "Bacterial small subunit ribosomal RNA", at positions 24 to 518 of the family's 1533-position model. The record is from RNAcentral.
UCAGGACGAACGCUGGCGGCGUGCCUAAUACAUGCAAGUCGAACGGUCUUUCUAUGGAAGCUUGCUUCCACUGAGAAGAUAGUGGCGAACGGGUGAGUAACACGUGGGUAACCUGCCCAUAAGAGGGGGGAGUAACAUCCGGAAACGGGUGCUAAUACCGCAUAGUUUUCUUGAUCGCAUGAUCGGGAAAGGAAAGACGGCCUUUGUGCUGUCGCUUAUGGAUGGACCCGCGGCGUAUUAGUUAGUUGGUGAGGUAACGGCUCACCAAGACGAUGAUACGUAGCCGACCUGAGAGGGUGAUCGGCCACAUUGGGACUGAGACACGGCCCAAACUCCUACGGGAGGCAGCAGUAGGGAAUCUUCCGCAAUGGACGAAAGUCUGACGGAGCAACGCCGCGUGAGUGAAGAAAAGGUUUUCGGAUCGUAAAACUCUGUUGUCAGAGAAGAACAAGUUGGAGAGUAACUGCUCCAGCCUUGACGGUAUCUGACCAGAAAGCCACGGCUAACUACGUGCCAGCAGCCGC